GAGGAUUAGCUCAGUUGGGAGAGCAUCUGCCUUACAAGCAGGAGGUCACAGGUUCGAGCCCUGUAU
Molecule: transfer RNA, 66 nt
Filed under: uncultured Limosilactobacillus sp.
Lineage: Bacteria; Bacillati; Bacillota; Bacilli; Lactobacillales; Lactobacillaceae
Rfam family: tRNA
About the family: Transfer RNA (tRNA) molecules are approximately 80 nucleotides in length. Their secondary structure includes four short double-helical elements and three loops (D, anti-codon, and T loops).
Source: RNAcentral